GGAUUAGAUACCCUGGUAGUCCACGCCCUAAACGAUGUACACUAGUUGUUGCCAUACUAGAUAUGGCAGUAAUGCAGUUAACACAUUAAGUGUACCGCCUGGGGAGUACGGUCGCAAGAUUAAAACUCAAAGGAAUAGACGGGGACCCGCACAAGCGGUGGAGCAUGUGGUUUAAUUCGACUAUACGCGAAGAACCUUACCUGGACUUGACAUAGUAAGAACUUUCUAGAGAUAGAUUGGUGUCUGCUUGCAGAAGCUUAUAUACAGGUGCUGCACGGCUGUCGUCAGCUCGUGCCG
This 297-nucleotide ribosomal RNA is filed under the name uncultured bacterium. RNAcentral describes it as "partial 16S ribosomal RNA". It matches the Rfam family "Bacterial small subunit ribosomal RNA", at positions 775 to 1067 of the family's 1533-position model. The record is from RNAcentral.